Molecule: long non-coding RNA, 496 nt
Organism: Ornithodoros turicata
Lineage: Eukaryota; Metazoa; Arthropoda; Arachnida; Ixodida; Argasidae
Exons: 3
Source: RefSeq, a predicted model, not a curated record
ACAGAAUUCAGCCCCACAGCCUUCCUUCGUCCUUGUAGACUUCACAAGAAAACAUCCACCGUGUACACGAUGGAUGAGGUCAUGGCAGAUCGCAGAGUCCACAUCCGGACCAUCGCUCAGAUGGGUCCCAAGACUGUGCACGCCUGAUCAGGAAAGCACGCGCUACACCACAUCCAGUGACAAAUCCAGCUGUUAAGGACAGAUCAUGCGGGUUUCCGUGCCUGGUUUGUGACUGUGGACGAAACCUGUGCCCACAACUUCCAAUGAGAGCAAAGCCCAGACCAAACAGUGGAGCCCCCCUCCCUUCUCGUCCCCAUCGCCGAAGAAGACUCGGGCUGUUCCAUUAGCAGCAAGGACGCCAUCAAGGCCAAACAACUCAGUAUGCUCCGAAAGAAGAUCCUGUUCCAUCUGGACAAUGCGUCCCCACGCCGUGCUGCCGUGGCUGUGGCUGCCGUCCACCCCUGCAGCUUUUGCGUGGUCAGCUAUACAGCGUACU